RNAcentral lists this ribosomal RNA (1286 nucleotides) under Sipalinus gigas. RNAcentral describes it as "16S ribosomal RNA". The stretch from base 852 to 1220 matches the Rfam family "Bacterial large subunit ribosomal RNA", at positions 2073 to 2647 of the family's 2925-position model. Lineage: Eukaryota; Metazoa; Arthropoda; Insecta; Coleoptera; Curculionidae. The record is from RNAcentral.
UUAUUCAGAUUUAUAAGUUUAACUUUGUUUUGAAAUAAGAAGAUUAUAAGUUUAAUUAAUGGUGAUGAAAGUAAUUUGUUUAAUUAUAGAGGAUUAGUAUUGUGAAAGAAUAAGCUUUAUGAAAGUGAAAGAAGAAUUGAUUUUUUGUACCUUGUGUAUCAGGGUUUAUCUAAAAAGGGUUUAUUAUCUAAAUUUUCUCGAAUUCAAAAGAGCUAUUUGUGUAUAUUUUUUAUUGUAAAAUAAAUAGUAUUAAUACACAGAUGGAGGUGAAACGCUAAUCGGUUUUGAAUAUAUCUAGUUUUUCAAGAAAUAAAUUAAAUUUAUUUAUUUUAAUACUAUUAAUUUGACUUUAUAAUGUGAUGGUUGGAAUAUUAAAUAUUGUAAGGGAUGAGCUUUACUUUAUAUUUAUAUAAGAUAUUGGUGUUUAUGAGGAGUAAGUAGGAUUAUAAGUUUCUUUCUUCAUAGUGUGUUACAUCUAACUCUCAGUUGACUAUUAUUUAUAUAUUCUUUAUAUUUUUUAUUGAAAUGUUUUUUCUAAUAAGAGGUGAUAGGAAAUAAUGAUAAAAUUAGUAUAAUAUUUUGUUGGGGAAUUCUUAUGUGAUAGGUUGGACAAAGGAAUUCGGCAAAAGGCUUUUCACCUGUUUAUUAAAAACAUGGCCUUUUGAUUAUGAUUUAAGGUCGGGCCUGCCCAUUGAUUAAUUAUUUAACGGCCGCGGUAAACUGACCGUGCAAAGGUAGCAUAGUAAUUAGUUUUUUAAUUGAAAGCUUGUAUGAAGGGUUUAAUGAGAAAGCAGCUGUCUCUGUUCAAUUUAUUUGGAAUUUUACUUUUGAGUAAAAAGGCUUAGAUUAUUCUGGAAGACGAGAAGACCCUAUAGAGUUUGACAUUUUUUAUCUUUUUUAAAUGUAAAGAAUAUAUUGUUUUUUUUAGGUAAAAAUUUGUUUGAUUGGGGUGAUUGGAAAAUUAAGUCAACUUUUCUUUGAUAAAUACAUCUGUUUAUGGAUAUAUGAUCCUCUGUUAGAGAUUAUAAGACAAAAUUACCUUAGGGAUAACAGCGUAAUAUUUUUUGAGAGUUCUAAUCGAAAAAAAUGGUUGCGACCUCGAUGUUGGAUUAAAAUAAAUUUUUGGUGUAGAAGCUAAAAUAAUUGGGUCUGUUCGACCUUUAAAAUUUUACAUGAUCUGAGUUUAAACCGGCGUGAGCCAGGUUGGUUUCUAUCUCCAGCUAGUUAAAAUAUUUUAGUACGAAAGGACCAAAUAUUUAGUUUGUAAUUUUGAAGUUAGAACAAUA